GACGAACGCUGGCGGCGUGCUUAACACAUGCCAGUCGAACGAUGAAGAAGAGAAACGCGAACUUCGGUUCAAAUUUCACUUCGGAUUAGUGGCAGACGGGUGAGUAACGCGUGAGCAACCUACCUCUUACAAAGGGAUAGCCUCGGGAAACCGUGAUUAAUACCAUAUGACACAUUCAUAAGGCAUCUUAAGAAUGUUAAAGCUACGGCGGUAAGAGAUGGGCUCGCGUCCCAUUAGCUAGUUGGUGAGGUAACGGCCCACCAAGGCGACGAUGGGUAACCGGCCUGAGAGGGUGAACGGUCACAUUGGAACUGAGACACGGUCCAAACUCCUACGGGAGGCAGCAGUGGGGAAUAUUGCACAAUGGAGGGAACUCUGAUGCAGCGACGCCGCGUGAGCGAUGAAGCAAUUCGUUUCGUAAAGCUCUGUUCUAUGGGAAGAAAAGGACUGUACCAUAGGAGAAAGCCCCGGCUAAAUACGUG
RNAcentral lists this ribosomal RNA (482 nucleotides) under uncultured bacterium. RNAcentral describes it as "partial 16S ribosomal RNA". It matches the Rfam family "Bacterial small subunit ribosomal RNA", at positions 28 to 507 of the family's 1533-position model. The record is from RNAcentral.